GACGAACGCUGGCGGCGUGCUUAACACAUGCAAGUCGAACGGAAAGGCCCUGCUUGCCGGGUACUCGAGUGGCGAACGGGUGAGUAACACGUGGGUGAUCUGCCCUGCACUUCGGGAUAAGCCUGGGAAACUGGGUCUAAUACCGGAUAGGAGCCAUUUUUAGUGUGAUGGUUGGAAAGUUUUUUCGGUGUAGGAUGAGCUCGCGGCCUAUCAGCUUGUUGGUGGGGUAAUGGCCUACCAAGGCGGCGACGGGUAGCCGGCCUGAGAGGGUGGACGGCCACAGUGGGACUGAGAUACGGCCCAGACUCCUACGGGAGGCAGCAGGGGGGAAUAUUGCACAAUGGGCGCAAGCCUGAUGCAGCGACGCCGCGUGGGGGAGGACGGCCUUCGGGUUGUAAACUCCUUUCGCUAGGGACGAAGCUUUUUGUGACGGUACCUAGAGAAGAAGCACCGGCUAACUACGUG
This 465-nucleotide ribosomal RNA is filed under the name uncultured bacterium. Its description in RNAcentral is "partial 16S ribosomal RNA". It matches the Rfam family "Bacterial small subunit ribosomal RNA", at positions 28 to 507 of the family's 1533-position model. The record is from RNAcentral.